AUGUGUCGCAUCACAGCCAUUCAUUCCAACAACGCCGCACUCCUUCCAAUUCACAUCAAAAACGUCGCACAUGAGCUAUUGACCCGCACGUUACUCACCGCUGUCCGCCCCGUCCAUGUGGCCGUGGAAGACGCCUCCCUCGCCCGCCUCGCCCUCGCCGGGCCCAAUGGCACCAGGCUCUCUUACGAUGUGUCCCUUGCUGUCUCCGUGCACAACCGCAACUGGGCCAUGCGCGCCGUGCUCGGGGCUGACGCGCCGCUCGACGCUGAGCUCUUCUUCGCCGGCGAGCACUUCGCCCGCGUCAGGAUCCAGGGGAGCUCGCGCCGGUGUAUCUGUCCGGGAAAUACCGAGGUCUACAAUGUCGUGGCGGCGGGCGAGGGCACCGCGCCGCUGAGGAGUGCCGGGGUGGCAACGCUCGUGAAGGAGAGUGUGGCGGGUGGCGGGUUCCGGCUGGAGCUGAAGCUUGCCGGCGAGGUCAGGUACCCGCCGCACCGCACGCGCAGGCUGGAGGCCACCUGCCCGCUCAAGCUGCCUCUGGCGUCGCCCGCGGGGCAGGCAAGGUUCAAGAAGGUCGAGUGCGUGGUGUAA
This 588-nucleotide ribosomal RNA is filed under the name Triticum aestivum (bread wheat). RNAcentral describes it as "partial small subunit ribosomal RNA". Lineage: Eukaryota; Viridiplantae; Streptophyta; Magnoliopsida; Poales; Poaceae. The record is from RNAcentral.